RNAcentral lists this transfer RNA (77 nucleotides) under Verrucomicrobiota bacterium. Its description in RNAcentral is "Verrucomicrobia bacterium tRNA-Arg". It matches the Rfam family "tRNA". From Rfam's summary of the family: Transfer RNA (tRNA) molecules are approximately 80 nucleotides in length. Their secondary structure includes four short double-helical elements and three loops (D, anti-codon, and T loops). Further hydrogen bonds mediate the characteristic L-shaped molecular structure. tRNAs have two regions of fundamental functional importance: the anti-codon, which is responsible for specific mRNA codon recognition, and the 3' end, to which the tRNAs corresponding amino acid is attached (by aminoacyl-tRNA synthetases). tRNAs cope with the degeneracy of the genetic code in two manners: having more than one tRNA (with a specific anti-codon) for a particular amino acid; and 'wobble' base-pairing, i.e. permitting non-standard base-pairing at the 3rd anti-codon position. The record is from RNAcentral. Lineage: Bacteria; Pseudomonadati; Verrucomicrobiota.
GCCCCGGUAGCUCAGUUGGACAGAGCACCGGAUUCCUAAUCCGGGGGUCGGAGGUUCGAACCCUCUCCGGGGCACCA